UGUCGGCAUAUUAUUGGACAAAUCCCUUGAUGCAACGAUAUUAAGCCCUUGGUAAUCCGAACUAUGUGGAUAAUGGACCUGUUUAUGGACAAAACAUCCAUUGAUGGAUAGAAGAUAAGGUUUUGCAGGAUAUCAGUCCAUCAGGAGAUUGACUAUGUCUUCUAAAUGAGUUAUUUGCAACUAGGCAAUUGUUCAGAUCUUAAAUCUUAGGACUAGCGUGGAAGUAGGAUAAGAAAUGGUGCAAGUUGUUCUUAUCCAUGAUGGGUCUGGGUGUAAUCAAUUCCAGGAUAAGAUAGGAUAAGAUUGGACCCUUUUUUUUUUAUUUGUUUGCUCAGAUAAGCAAUUUUCUUCCCUUAUGUCAAUGAUAAGAUACUAACAGCAGUAGACCCUUAAAACAGGUACUGGAUAGUACACCGGUCCUACAGCCUGAGUGUUGUGCAUGCAACACAAGGAGAUUACUUAUCGUCUGCUGCUGCUUGCCCGUAUGCUCCGUUUCUAUGGAGUCAUUUCCUUCUCUCUCCUUGCUCCCGGUCUUUUUCUCCAUACAUUUCAUUAUCCUAGCGAAUUCAGUUGAGCGUUGCUCAACUUUCUCUCCAUUUCUUCUCUUCUCCUUUAAAUUUGAAGAGAAAUUAGUGGAGAAAAUUUCGGAUCCAGAGAGAAACCUCAUCAUUGGUAGAUGAAGGUUGCUGUCCAGGGGCCUCAGGUAAGCACAGUACAAUAAAGCUACUCAACCGUCCGGAAGUUUGCCCUGCCAUUACAGAAGGAUAAAUGUCUCAGAUAAGGGGACUUGCCAUGGCUGUAGACAUUGGGAGUUAAGACCCCGGAGAGCCAUAGAGCUGCAACGAGAAAAUUAUCAUCAGAUUUCUGGCUUUCCACCAUAUCGCUUACACCACCUUCAAUGGCUUUCACCAACUAUGGGUUGAAAAAGGAUGCUGCACGUGUCUCUCUUUAUAUCCUCUUGCACCUCCCUCCAUGCGCAUCUUCAAAGAAACUUUGUGUAAUUUUCUUUUCUUUUCUCUUAGCUCUGCAAGAAGGCUAGAUAUGAACGCCUUCUACUUACUAUGAAGAAAAUUUUUCCACUAGUACUGGUUCCAACUGGUAUGAGCUGUGUAAGUCGUGUUAUUUGGGAUUGACAAAAGAAUUCAUUGGUCGAGCACAACCAAGAAUUUUUUGGAGCAACUGUUUUUUAGUAUAAUGCAUCCAUUUGCCACUUUUGUUUCUCAUUCAUGCUUUCUUUCAUCCUUUCUCAUCCUGAUAACCUAUGCCCUGGCAACCUCAUUCUUCCUAGGACCCUUUCACUUUCUAGCUGCCACCAGCUAAAGAAAGAUCAGUACUGCAUAUUAGAGAGAAAAGAUAGGAACUCAUCUGAUAUUCAUAAAGAAACCCCUCCAAAGGGGUACCCCUUUUUUUUAACCUUUUGGAGGGAAAUGUUAGGCUCAAGGGAGCCUAAAAACCACUCUUGCAGCUUCAAAGGAACAUACCUCUAUGGAAUUCCUAUGACCUCUAUAUGAGUAACAUUGCCAUGAGCCGGAGCUAUAUAAGAAAAAUGAACAUGUCCCACUUACAAUCAACAGCACCUUCAGCUUUCACCUAUCGAGUCUAUGAAUUUUACUUUUUCUACAAUGUCAACAAAAUGUAAAAGAAGUUUGUAUACUGGCAUACUAUGAAUGCAAUUGAACUAUAAACUUAGAUGAAUGUUACCUCUUACAGAGGUCGAACAUCUCUCUCUCUCUCUCUCUCUUGUGAUAUAUAUUAGUGCAAACUAAACUUUAAUCUCACAUGGACAUGCAUGUAUCGCCUUCGGUUAGAAUGAAACAUUAAGUAUCACAUAUAACCUCUGCUGAAAUUUAAAUUAGGUUUUCUAACUUGUUCCAGUGGAACUUGCUUCUGCUUCAACUA
Molecule: non-coding RNA, 1899 nt
Organism: Phoenix dactylifera (date palm)
Lineage: Eukaryota; Viridiplantae; Streptophyta; Magnoliopsida; Arecales; Arecaceae
Source: RefSeq, a predicted model, not a curated record